GACGAACGCUGGCGGCGUGCUUAACACAUGCAAGUCGAACGAAGAGCGAUGGAAGCUUGCUUCUAUCAAUCUUAGUGGCGAACGGGUGAGUAACGCGUAAUCAACCUGCCCUUCAGAGGGGGACAACAGUUGGAAACGACUGCUAAUACCGCAUACGAUCUAAUCUCGGCAUCGAGGAUAGAUGAAAGGUGGCCUCUACAUGUAAGCUAUCACUGAAGGAGGGGAUUGCGUCUGAUUAGCUAGUUGGAGGGGUAACGGCCCACCAAGGCGAUGAUCAGUAGCCGGUCUGAGAGGAUGAACGGCCACAUUGGGACUGAGACACGGCCCAGACUCCUACGGGAGGCAGCAGUGGGGAAUCUUCCGCAAUGGACGAAAGUCUGACGGAGCAACGCCGCGUGAGUGAUGACGGCCUUCGGGUUGUAAAGCUCUGUUAAUCGGGACGAAGGGCCUUCUUGCGAAUAGGGAGAAGGAUUGACGGUACCGGAAUAGAAAGCCACGGCUAACUACGUG
This 510-nucleotide ribosomal RNA is filed under the name uncultured bacterium. RNAcentral describes it as "partial 16S ribosomal RNA". It matches the Rfam family "Bacterial small subunit ribosomal RNA", at positions 28 to 507 of the family's 1533-position model. The record is from RNAcentral.